Long non-coding RNA from Oncorhynchus tshawytscha (Chinook salmon), 911 nucleotides. The record is from Ensembl. NCBI's taxonomy places the organism in Eukaryota, Metazoa, Chordata, Actinopteri, Salmoniformes, Salmonidae.
UAGCUAGGCAUUCAGUGACUAAAUUCCCCAUUGAGUGGCUAAACUGUACAAUGCCGUUAUGAAAUCAUUCAAAUUGAUUUCUGCAUUUGGCACUGGGAUACCAUGCAUGAGAGGGUAAUUUACAGUAAAAUGUGAUAUGCAGCAGUGGAGCGUGAGUGAUUGUGUGGUCGAGGAGCCGAGAAUCCCCACUGUAUCGCUCCCAGCAAGCGGUGGCUCAAAGAGCCAGGGACAGUAUGCAGGCGGUGAGAGCGAACCCCAACCACGCCACGGCAAAGCCCCUUCAUCCGUGAUGUAAUCACAGAUAGUGCAGAAUGGUGCUUUUUUGGGGUGGGGGGUCACUGAAGGUGGGGUUCGCCCAGGGAGCCAUACAAGCUAGAACAGCCACCCGAAAUCCACAAGAUUGUGUCCAGGGGAAAUACAAUGUUUCCCAUUAAGAGCAGGUUGUCCCAAGACUCUUCUAUUAGACCAAUUUGUUUUUCUUGUGAAAGAUGCUGUUAGCCACAUAGCUUACCUCAGCCAGUUAAGUUAUUUUAUAUGGGCCUUCGCUCUGAAAAAAUGGACUUCAAUUAAGCCCUCUUGUUGUUUGUAAACUCAAAUUAAAAUGAAGAUUAUUGUUGAAAUGAAUUAAUAGACUGGUGUAGUUUUUCUCCAUCUGUUGCUUGGCACCACUUGCAUAAUAAGUUAGCUAUAUUUUCAGCACCGGGUGCUGUUCACCUUCUUUUGAUUGUGCUGCGGUUGCAGCUUUACAUUUCAGCACCUAAAAAAAAUGGUCCGCUGCCUGCUUUAUUAGUUGACAGUCUCCUGCAUUCUCUCUCCUCAUGAAUAUAGUGCAAUUGUAACUUUUGCAUUAUUUAGGUAGGGUCACUUCCCUCUUGGGAUAUUGCAUUUGGGACGUUUUGCAUCUCAGGUCC